RNAcentral lists this ribosomal RNA (521 nucleotides) under Saccharomyces cerevisiae (brewer's yeast). RNAcentral's name for it is "eukaryotic LSU rRNA". It matches the Rfam family "Eukaryotic large subunit ribosomal RNA", at positions 117 to 652 of the family's 3401-position model. Lineage: Eukaryota; Fungi; Ascomycota; Saccharomycetes; Saccharomycetales; Saccharomycetaceae. The record is from RNAcentral.
GAAAUCUGGUACCUUCGGUGCCCGAGUUGUAAUUUGGAGAGGGCAACUUUGGGGCCGUUCCUUGUCUAUGUUCCUUGGAACAGGACGUCAUAGAGGGUGAGAAUCCCGUGUGGCGAGGAGUGCGGUUCUUUGUAAAGUGCCUUCGAAGAGUCGAGUUGUUUGGGAAUGCAGCUCUAAGUGGGUGGUAAAUUCCAUCUAAAGCUAAAUAUUGGCGAGAGACCGAUAGCGAACAAGUACAGUGAUGGAAAGAUGAAAAGAACUUUGAAAAGAGAGUGAAAAAGUACGUGAAAUUGUUGAAAGGGAAGGGCAUUUGAUCAGACAUGGUGUUUUGUGCCCUCUGCUCCUUGUGGGUAGGGGAAUCUCGCAUUUCACUGGGCCAGCAUCAGUUUUGGUGGCAGGAUAAAUCCAUAGGAAUGUAGCUUGCCUCGGUAAGUAUUAUAGCCUGUGGGAAUACUGCCAGCUGGGACUGAGGACUGCGACGUAAGUCAAGGAUGCUGGCAUAAUGGUUAUAUGCCGCCCGU